GAUGAACGCUGGCGGCGUGCCUAAUACAUGCAAGUCGAGCGAACGGAUGAGAAGCUUGCUUCUCUGAUGUUAGCGGCGGACGGGUGAGUAACACGUGGAUAACCUACCUAUAAGACUGGGAUAACUUAGGGAAACCGGAGCUAAUACCGGAUAAUAUUUUGAACCGCAUGGUUCAAAAGUGAAAGACGGUCUUGCUGUCACUUAUAGAUGGAUCCGCGCUGCAUUAGCUAGUUGGUAAGGUAACGGCUUACCAAGGCAACGAUGCAUAGCCGACCUGAGAGGGUGAUCGGCCACACUGGAACUGAGACACGGUCCAGACUCCUACGGGAGGCAGCAGUAGGGAAUCUUCCGCAAUGGGCGAAAGCCUGACGGAGCAACGCCGCGUGAGUGAUGAAGGUCUUCGGAUCGUAAAACUCUGUUAUUAGGGAAGAACAUAUGUGUAAGUAACUGUGCACAUCUUGACGGUACCUAAUCAGAAAGCCACGGCUAACUACGUG
This 497-nucleotide ribosomal RNA is filed under the name uncultured bacterium. RNAcentral describes it as "partial 16S ribosomal RNA". It matches the Rfam family "Bacterial small subunit ribosomal RNA", at positions 28 to 507 of the family's 1533-position model. The record is from RNAcentral.